AGGACGAGCGCUGGCGGCGUGCUUAACACAUGCAAGUCGAACGGUGAAGGAGAGCUUGCUCUCUGGAUCAGUGGCGAACGGGUGAGUAACACGUGAGUAACCUGCCCUUGACUCUGGGAUAAGCGUUGGAAACGACGUCUAAUACCGGAUACGAGCUUCAGUCGCAUGGCUAGGAGCUGGAAAGAUUUCGGACAAGGAUGGACUCGCGGCCUAUCAGCUAGUUGGUGAGGUAAUGGCUCGACCGAAGGCGACGGACGGUAGCCGGCCUGACGGAGGGU
This 278-nucleotide ribosomal RNA is filed under the name uncultured soil bacterium. RNAcentral describes it as "partial 16S ribosomal RNA". It matches the Rfam family "Bacterial small subunit ribosomal RNA", at positions 26 to 301 of the family's 1533-position model. The record is from RNAcentral.